AGCCCAGCUUGCUGGGUGGAUCAGUGGCGAACGGGUGAGUAACACGUGAGCAAUCUGCCCCUGACUCUGGGAUAAGCGCUGGAAACGGCGUCUAAUACUGGAUACGAACCGUGGAGGCAUCUUCAACGGUUGGAAAGAUUUUUUGGUCAGGGAUGAGCUCGCGGCCUAUCAGCUUGUUGGUGAGGUAAUGGCUCACCAAGGCGUCGACGGGUAGCCGGCCUGAGAGGGUGACCGGCCACACUGGGACUGAGACACGGCCCAGACUCCUACGGGAGGCAGCAGUGGGGAAUAUUGCACAAUGGGCGAAAGCCUGAUGCAGCAACGCCGCGUGAGGGAUGACGGCCUUCGGGUUGUAAACCUCUUUUAGCAGGGAAGAAGCGUGAGUGACGGUACCUGCAGAAAAAGCGCCGGCUAACUACGUGCCAGCAGCCGCGGUAAUACGUAGGGCGCAAGCGUUAUCCGGAAUUAUUGGGCGUAAAGAGCUCGUAGGCGGUUUGUCGCGUCUGCUGUGAAAUCCCGAGGCUCAACCUCGGGUCUGCAGUGGGUACGGGCAGACUAGAGUGCGGUAGGGGAGAUUGGAAUUCCUGGUGUAGCGGUGGAAUGCGCAGAUAUCAGGAGGAACACCGAUGGCGAAGGCAGAUCUCUGGGCCGUAACUGACGCUGAGGAGCGAAAGGGUGGGGAGCAAACAGGCUUAGAUACCCUGGUAGUCCACCCCGUAAACGUUGGGAACUAGUUGUGGGGUCCAUUCCACGGAUUCCGUGACGCAGCUAACGCAUUAAGUUCCCCGCCUGGGGAGUACGGCCGCAAGGCUAAAACUCAAAGGAAUUGACGGGGACCCGCACAAGCGGCGGAGCAUGCGGAUUAAUUCGAUGCAACGCGAAGAACCUUACCAAGGCUUGACAUAUACGAGAACGCUGCAGAAAUGUAGAACUCUUUGGACACUCGUAAACAGGUGGUGCAUGGUUGUCGUCAGCUCGUGUCGUGAGAUGUUGGGUUAAGUCCCGCAACGAGCGCAACCCUCGUUCUAUGUUGCCAGCACGUAAUGGUGGGAACUCAUGGGAUACUGCCGGGGUCAACUCGGAGGAAGGUGGGGAUGACGUCAAAUCAUCAUGCCCCUUAUGUCUUGGGCUUCACGCAUGCUACAAUGGCCGGUACAAAGGGCUGCAAUACCGUAAGGUGGAGCGAAUCCCAAAAAGCCGGUCCCAGUUCGGAUUGAGGUCUGCAACUCGACCUCAUGAAGUCGGAGUCGCUAGUAAUCGCAGAUCAGCAACGCUGCGGUGAAUACGUUCCCGGGUCUUGUACACACCGCCCGUC
RNAcentral lists this ribosomal RNA (1315 nucleotides) under Microbacterium laevaniformans. Its description in RNAcentral is "bacterial SSU rRNA". It matches the Rfam family "Bacterial small subunit ribosomal RNA", at positions 72 to 1398 of the family's 1533-position model. The record is from RNAcentral. Lineage: Bacteria; Bacillati; Actinomycetota; Actinomycetes; Micrococcales; Microbacteriaceae.